UGGGGAAUUUUGCACAAUGGGGGAAACCCUGAUGCAGCGACGCCGCGUGAUUUAGAAGGCCUUCGGGUUGUAAAUAUCUUUUCUAUGGGAAGAAAAUGACAGUACCAUAGGAAUAAGGACCGGCUAAUUACGUGCCAGCAGCCGCGGUAAUACGUAAGGUCCGAGCGUUGUCCGGAAUCAUUGGGCGUAAAGGGUACGUAGGCGGGUAAGCAAGUUAGAAGUGAAAUCCUAUAGCUCAACUAUAGUAAGCUUUUAAAACUGCUCAUCUUGAGGUAUGGAAGGGAAAGUGGAAUUCCUAGUGUAGCGGUGAAAUGCGCAGAUAUUAGGAGGAAUACCGGUGGCGAAGGCGACUUUCUGGCCAUAACCUGACGCUGAGGUACGAAAGCGUGGGUAGCAAACAGG
This 402-nucleotide ribosomal RNA is filed under the name bacterium. RNAcentral describes it as "partial 16S ribosomal RNA". It matches the Rfam family "Bacterial small subunit ribosomal RNA", at positions 355 to 776 of the family's 1533-position model. The record is from RNAcentral.